UACGAAGGGGGCUAGCGUUGCUCGGAAUCACUGGGCGUAAAGCGCGUGUAGGCGGGUCCUUAAGUCAGGGGUGAAAUGCCAAGGCUCAACCUUGGAACUGCCUUUGAUACUGGAGACCUUGAGUCCGGGAGAGGUGAGUGGAAUUGCGAGUGUAGAGGUGAAAUUCGUAGAUAUUCGCAAGAACACCAGUGGCGAAGGCGGCUCACUGGCCCGGAACUGACGCUGAGACGCGAAAGCGUGGGGAGCAAACAGG
This 253-nucleotide ribosomal RNA is filed under the name uncultured bacterium. RNAcentral describes it as "partial 16S ribosomal RNA". It matches the Rfam family "Bacterial small subunit ribosomal RNA", at positions 524 to 776 of the family's 1533-position model. The record is from RNAcentral.